This is a non-coding RNA of Pelobates cultripes (western spadefoot toad), 207 nucleotides long. The record is from the annotation of a GenBank genome assembly. NCBI's taxonomy places the organism in Eukaryota, Metazoa, Chordata, Amphibia, Anura, Pelobatidae.
GCUUUAUAAAUAUGGGGUGAUCUCAAAAUCCACAUUUAAACCCUGUGGUAUUAAAGUAUGCAUAUUGAAAAUCCACUUCAUUUCCGUCUUAUUAAGUAAAUUUUCCUUAUCUCCACCUCUCCAAUGUGUAUCAACUUUUUCAAUUCCUAUAAAAUCUAGGUAUUUCGGAUCACUGUUAUGAUGUUCCAUAAAAUGUUUCGAAACACU